UACAGAGGUCUCAAGCGUUGUUCGGAAUCACUGGGCGUAAAGGGUGCGUAGGUGGCGUGGUAAGUCAGAUGUGAAAGCCUGGGGCUCAACCUCAGAAUUGCAUCCGAUACUGCUAUGCUAGAGUACUGGAGGGGUGACUAGAAUUCUCGGUGUAGCAGUGAAAUGCGUAGAUAUCGAGAGGAAUACCAAAGGCGUAGGCAGGUCACUGGACAGUUACUGACACUGAGGCACGAAGGCCAGGGGAGCGAACGGG
RNAcentral lists this ribosomal RNA (253 nucleotides) under uncultured bacterium. RNAcentral describes it as "partial 16S ribosomal RNA". It matches the Rfam family "Bacterial small subunit ribosomal RNA", at positions 524 to 776 of the family's 1533-position model. The record is from RNAcentral.